This 210-nucleotide ribosomal RNA is filed under the name uncultured bacterium. RNAcentral's name for it is "partial 16S ribosomal RNA". It matches the Rfam family "Bacterial small subunit ribosomal RNA", at positions 1291 to 1500 of the family's 1533-position model. The record is from RNAcentral.
GUUCAGAUUGCAGGCUGCAACUCGCCUGCAUGAAGUCGGAAUUGCUAGUAAUCGUGGAUCAGCAUGCCACGGUGAAUACGUUCCCGGGCCUUGUACACACCGCCCGUCACACCAUGGGAGUCGGUAACACCCGAAGCCUGUAGUCUAACCGCAAGGAGGACGCAGUCGAAGGUGGGAUUGAUGACUGGGGUGAAGUCGUAACAAGGUAUC